AUACGGAGGGAGCGAGCGUUAAUCGGAAUUACUGGGCGUAAAGCGCGCGUAGGCGGCUUUGCAAGUCGGAUGUGAAAGCCCUGGGCUUAACCUGGGAAUGGCAUUCGAUACUGCAGAGCUAGAGUAUGGUAGAGGGAAGUGGAAUUUCCGGUGUAGCGGUGAAAUGCGUAGAUAUCGGAAGGAACACCAGUGGCGAAGGCGACUUCCUGGGCCAAUACUGACGCUGAGGUGCGAAAGCGUGGGGAGCAAACAGGAUUAGAAACCCCGGUAGUCC
RNAcentral lists this ribosomal RNA (274 nucleotides) under uncultured bacterium. Its description in RNAcentral is "partial 16S ribosomal RNA". It matches the Rfam family "Bacterial small subunit ribosomal RNA", at positions 523 to 796 of the family's 1533-position model. The record is from RNAcentral.